This is a small nuclear RNA of Loxodonta africana (African savanna elephant), 103 nucleotides long. NCBI's taxonomy places the organism in Eukaryota, Metazoa, Chordata, Mammalia, Proboscidea, Elephantidae. The record is from Ensembl.
GUGCUUGCCUCAGCAGCAUAGUAUAAUUGGAACAGUACAAAGAAGAUGGACAUGGCCCCUGAUCAAGGAUGACAUGCAAAUCUCUGAAUCAUUUCCAUUUGUU